Molecule: long non-coding RNA, 1444 nt
Filed under: Ananas comosus (pineapple)
Lineage: Eukaryota; Viridiplantae; Streptophyta; Magnoliopsida; Poales; Bromeliaceae
Description: long non-coding RNA (ACOM_LNC032463)
Source: RNAcentral
UCGUGGCAAGGGCGUUGCGAGCUAGAGCCCUUCCAGACGAGUCGCUGAGCUAGAGGAUCACCAGUUUCAAGUAGUUGUAGUUUUUGAGUUCAUAUAUAUACUUUUGUUGUAUCUCGCUGCGCGAGCCUUUUAUACACCUGGAUUGGAUGUAUGUAUAGUGAAUUUUUAUUUUUAUACUCCUGUUCUUUUUCCUAGCAGCUCUAUACUACUGGUUGUAAUGUUGUUGUUUACAGGAUCAGUUACAGUUUCGCUUUGUAUACAGAGAAAAUUCCUAUAUAUAUGGCGGAUUUGUCGGCGUGUCCGGAGAAACGAGUAAUCCGGGACGUGAUAAUUAAUCCUUAUAUUAUAUUUAAAUUUAAAUCUUUAAAUUUUAAAUUUUAAAAUUUAAAUAUAUAUAAAUUUUAAAUUUUAAAAAUUUAAAUUUUAAAUUUAAAUUUUUAGAUCUCAAAUUUAAAAAUUCAAAGUUCUAAAUUUUAAAUUUUAAAUUUUAUAUUUAAGAUUAAAUCUAAAUUUAAAAAUCUAAAAUAUCAAAUUUUAAAUUCAAAAAUUUAGAAUUUAAAAUUAUAGAAUUUUAAUUUUAAAAUUACAAAUUAUAAAUUUUUUAAAAUUUUAAAAUUUAAAUUUAAAUUUUAAAAAAAUUAAAUAAGGGUGGGAAUGACUGUUACCACCCCUAUUCCCAUACAAAACGUGGGAUAACUAUCCUGCCCCCUUUUUUUAUAUUUGGAUAUAAGAGGGGAUAACCCUUUAUCCCCAUUUUAUCCCCCGACCAAACACCCUCAUAGAGUUCGACUACUAUACUAUCGAUAGUACCAAGUUUUUGGUAUUAUCAAGUUUUCUGCUGUUAGAUCUACCUUUUUUAUCGUUUCCAUCCGUUAGAUUAUACUAUUCAACCAACCAUCCACUCAACCUCAGGUGACCACUAUCAUCUUAACUGCACAUCCUUUCAUCCAACGGUUGAAAACUUGAUAGCACCAAGCGUUUGGUACUAUCGAUAAUAUAAUAGCACGAUUCUAAUUUCAUACAGCUCCGUACAUCGAAUAGCAAAUAUAUUUUUUAUAAAAUUUAACUUUUUAUAUUUUUAUUAGUUAUUUUUUAACCAAAAAUAAGUGAAAUGAUAUUUUUGCCAUCACAAAUAUGCCCCUCCAAAAGUCUAAACUAUUAAAAUUAUGCAGAUAUAUCAUCCCAAAAUGGUCAUCUUCUUUUCUUCUACCAUCACAAACAAUAUAAGAGGGGUAAAAAAAUCAAUUUACCUUAUUUACUAACUAGGAUUAAAUAUUUUGUCUAUGGUUAACUAUAUUUUUCUAACGGAUCCUAACAACAUGGAUAUAUUUGAAAAUGUUAGGACUUUUGUAAGGAUAAAUAUAAAAAGUUGAACUUUGUAAGGAGAUAUCUGUGUUCGAUAUGUUUAUAGAGAGCUGUAUACAAUUAAUCCUAUAAAGUAAGU